GCUUUUCUCUCGUCUCGACCAGUACUCGACCUCUCGACACGACGCUACGCGGCAACCCUAGCGAGCGGCGGCGGCGGCUGGCCAGGUCUCCAGGAGCCCAGGAGGAGGAGCGGCGGCGGCUGGCCAGGGCGGCGGCACCGCGGCAGCAAGCGACGGUGGCGCAAGCCGGGGCCUAGGCGCCUAGCGGCGGCGGCAGUAGCGGUCCGGUAGUCCGGCCACUUUUGACUCCGGCGCAGUUCUGGCCAGAUUGAAGAAGAUGGAAAAGAAAGGAAAGGGAAUAAAGGAAAGGGGAGGAGGUAAUUUCUGAACUUUUCUGAUUUUUUGUAGCAAAUUUAACAGUAGCUGUAGCUUGAAGCAGAUUGUAGAUUUGUAGUGACCGAAUGGAUGAUAUUUUAACAGUAGCUUAAAGCAGAUUUGUAGCAAAAUUUAACAGCAGCUUGAAGCCUUAAAUUAAAUGUGAAUAAGCUUGCUAGACUCA
This is a non-coding RNA of Aegilops tauschii subsp. strangulata, 478 nucleotides long. The record is from RefSeq and is a predicted model, not a curated record. NCBI's taxonomy places the organism in Eukaryota, Viridiplantae, Streptophyta, Magnoliopsida, Poales, Poaceae.